Molecule: ribosomal RNA, 498 nt
Filed under: uncultured bacterium
Lineage: Bacteria
Description: bacterial SSU rRNA
Rfam family: Bacterial small subunit ribosomal RNA
Source: RNAcentral
GACGAACGCUGGCGGCGUGCCUAAUACAUGCAAGUCGAGCGGAUCUUUUAGGAGCUUGCUCUUAAAAGAUUAGCGGCGGACGGGUGAGUAACACGUGGGCAACCUGCCUGUAAGACUGGGAUAACUUCGGGAAACUGGAGCUAAUACCGGAUAAUUUCUUCCCUCUCCUGAGGGAAGGUUGAAAGACGGCUUCGGCUGUCACUUACAGAUGGGCCCGCGGCGCAUUAGCUAGUUGGUGAGGUAACGGCUCACCAAGGCAACGAUGCGUAGCCGACCUGAGAGGGUGAUCGGCCACACUGGGACUGAGACACGGCCCAGACUCCUACGGGAGGCAGCAGUAGGGAAUCUUCCGCAAUGGACGAAAGUCUGACGGAGCAACGCCGCGUGAGUGAUGAAGGUUUUCGGAUCGUAAAACUCUGUUAUCAGGGAAGAACAAGUAUCGGAGUAACUGCCGGUACCUUGACGGUACCUGACCAGAAAGCCACGGCUAACUACGUG